RNAcentral lists this transfer RNA (73 nucleotides) under candidate division GN15 bacterium. RNAcentral's name for it is "tRNA-Asn". It matches the Rfam family "tRNA". Rfam says of the family: Transfer RNA (tRNA) molecules are approximately 80 nucleotides in length. Their secondary structure includes four short double-helical elements and three loops (D, anti-codon, and T loops). Further hydrogen bonds mediate the characteristic L-shaped molecular structure. tRNAs have two regions of fundamental functional importance: the anti-codon, which is responsible for specific mRNA codon recognition, and the 3' end, to which the tRNAs corresponding amino acid is attached (by aminoacyl-tRNA synthetases). tRNAs cope with the degeneracy of the genetic code in two manners: having more than one tRNA (with a specific anti-codon) for a particular amino acid; and 'wobble' base-pairing, i.e. permitting non-standard base-pairing at the 3rd anti-codon position. The record is from RNAcentral.
UCCCCUGUAGCUCAGUUGGUAGAGCAGCUGACUGUUAAUCAGCGGGCCGUUGGUUCGAGUCCAACCGGGGGAG